CCUACGGGAGGCAGCAGUAGGGAAUAUUGCUCAAUGGGGGAAACCCUGAAGCAGCAACGCCGCGUGGAGGAUGAAGGUUUUCGGAUUGUAAACUCCUUUUGUUAGAGAAGAUAAUGACGGUAUCUAACGAAUAAGCACCGGCUAACUCCGUGCCAGCAGCCGCGGUAAUACGGAGGGUGCAAGCGUUACUCGGAAGCACUGGGCGGAAAGAGCGCGUAGGCGGGAUAGCAAGUCAGAUGUGAAAUCCUAUGGCUUAACCAUAGAACUGCAUUUGAAACUGUUAUUCUAGAGUAUGGGAGAGGUAGGUGGAAUUCUUGGUGUAGGGGUAAAAUCCGUAGAGAUCAAGAGGAAUACUCAUUGCGAAGGCGACCUGCUAGAACAUAACUGACGCUGAUGCGCGAAAGCGUGGGGAGCAAACAGGAUUAGAUACCCCGGUAGUC
Molecule: ribosomal RNA, 440 nt
Filed under: uncultured bacterium
Lineage: Bacteria
Description: partial 16S ribosomal RNA
Rfam family: Bacterial small subunit ribosomal RNA
Source: RNAcentral